AUAGCCAAUUAAUUGUUGGCCGGUAUGAAUGGCAUCACGAGGGCCCCCCUGUCUUAAGAGGACUCUCCAUGAAAUUGAAUUCGUAGUGAAGAUGCUACGUCCAUAUUGUAAGACGAAAAGUCCCCAUUGAGCUUUACUAAAGACUUAUAUGGCUCGAAUAACUUAAAUAAAAAGUUUAGAUAAUGUGGGAUCCGUUUUUGGUUAAUGAGACACCACUCUUUUAUUUUAAGAGAACUAACCUUAUAGGGAGAAUGUAAGUUAGAUAGUUUGGUUGGGGCGACCACCUUUUAAAAGGUAACGAAGGUGAGCUUAAGGUCCGUAGUUAAUAGCUAGAGGCCUGACUGCAAGGGGGACAUCCCGAGCAGACACAUCCUUAAGG
RNAcentral lists this ribosomal RNA (379 nucleotides) under Exaiptasia sp. AG-2015. Its description in RNAcentral is "partial 16S ribosomal RNA". It matches the Rfam family "Bacterial large subunit ribosomal RNA", at positions 1968 to 2406 of the family's 2925-position model. Lineage: Eukaryota; Metazoa; Cnidaria; Anthozoa; Actiniaria; Aiptasiidae. The record is from RNAcentral.